RNAcentral lists this ribosomal RNA (253 nucleotides) under uncultured bacterium. Its description in RNAcentral is "partial 16S ribosomal RNA". It matches the Rfam family "Bacterial small subunit ribosomal RNA", at positions 524 to 776 of the family's 1533-position model. The record is from RNAcentral.
UACGUAGGGGGCUAGCGUUGUCCGGAUUUAUUGGGCGUAAAGAGCGCGUAGGCGGCCCGGUAGGUCUGGUGUGAAAACUCGAGGCUUAACCUCGAGAUGUCAUCGGAAACCAUUUGGCUAGAGUCCGGAAGAGGAGAGUGGAAUUCCUGGUGUAGCGGUGAAAUGCGCAGAUAUCAGGAAGAACACCAAUGGCGAAAGCAGCUCUCUGGGACGGUACUGACGCUGAGACGCGAAAGCGUGGGGAGCGAACAGG